This 489-nucleotide ribosomal RNA is filed under the name uncultured bacterium. RNAcentral describes it as "partial 16S ribosomal RNA". It matches the Rfam family "Bacterial small subunit ribosomal RNA", at positions 30 to 507 of the family's 1533-position model. The record is from RNAcentral.
AUUGAACGCUGGCGGCAGGCCUAACACAUGCAAGUCGAACGGUAACAGGAAGCAGCUUGCUGCUUUGCUGACGAGUGGCGGGCGGGUGAGUAAUGUCUGGGAAACUGCCUGAUGGAGGGGGGUAACUACUGGAAACGGUAGCUAAUACCGCAUAACGUCGCAAGACCAAAGAGGGGGACCUUCGGGCCUCUUGCCAUCGGAUGUGCCCAGAUGGGAUUAGCUAGUAGGUGGGGUAACGGCUCACCUAGGCGACGAUCCCUAGCUGGUCUGAGAGGAUGACCAGCCACACUGAAACUGAGACACGGGCCAGACUCCUACGGGAGGCAGCAGUGGGGAAUAUGCACAAUGGGCGCAAGCCUGAUGCAGCCAUGCCGCGUGUAUGAAGAAGGCCUUCGGGUUGUAAAGUACUUUCAGCGGGGAGGAAGGGAGUAAAGUUAAUACCUUUGCUCAUUGACGUUACCCGCAGAAGAAGCACCGGCUAACUCCGUG